GCUCAUUCUAAAGUAUGGCGAUGCAAUUUGCUCGUAAUAGAGACACAAAUCGCAAUUUCAAGACUUCCAGUUAUCCUGCUUUCUAGAUAUUGUCCGGAUUCUUGAGAGAUGCAUUUAGUACGCAUUGCUGUCUGUGUGGAUAAAAGUAACUUCUAAAUGCAUUUCUCUCAUUCUUGGUUUGUCAGAAUUGAGUAUUUCUACUCGGCACGUACGGCCGGCCUCGGGGGAGGAACACAAGAUGGAUCGGCUUCUCCUGAGGGUGUGUAAAGCCAAGGAGGAAAUGCCUCCCUUUAAACAGGAAACUAGGAUAUUUACUGAGAUUAAAAUAACAACCGACGCCGAAUCUGAGAGAAAACUAGUUAGUAGUUAGUAAGUCCAGUCAACAAUGCGUGAUUAUCCUUUCUGUUUGACCUUUAAUUUCCAAACCAAUAAUAAUAAUAUAAGUAAUAAUAGCAAUAAAAUAAUAUAUAAUAAUAAUAAAAAGCUUCCCAGUAAUUAUUAAUCAGUAAAAUAUUGUAAAUUCUAUAUUUUGCCACUAGUAAGGCUUAUUUAUUAGCUUUUUAGGAAAUAACUGAUAUGUGGCCUAUGCAUUUGUAACAGUUUGUGUAGCACGAUAUCAUUCAUCUGAUGUAAUUUGUUACCCAGUUGUGCAAUAUUUGGCCCAUCAUUGCAUUUCAUGUAAUUAUAUGUUAAAUUAAGGCAUUUGGACACUUAAGCCACAACUUGUAAAUGUCUUUGCAAUGCAUUGGAUAACAAAAUGUCAAAACUACUUUUCAAGCUAAAUAAUAAAUAAUAAAAAAUGAUAAAUAUACUCUGAAUAAAUGGUAUUUAGAUACACCGUUUGGAGGUGAUGCACUAAUUGGCUAGACUGUUUGAUAGAUGGCAAACAGCACCAGCGUGAGUCUGAACAACAGCUCGGUCCCGAUGAGCGUGUGAGAGUCUGCGGCUUUCAGCGGCAUCACAGCCUAUCUAUAGCGACAUCAACAAGUCUCAACCCCGAGCCCCCGUCCCCCCGACCCGCUCCCCAGCGCAACGGUGUCCCAUUAACACAUCUGACUCCUGAAACCUGGCAGGAAUGGCUCUGGUAUCACACACGCGGACAUUACUCCCAUACUCGUGUUGGGAGGAGCUGGCUGAGGGGUAUCGCUUCCACAUCAAGUGUGCACCUGCAGUGUUUAUCAAAACAUAUCAAACAUCGCUGACAGAGUCACCCACGUUCUUCACAACGUCUUCUUUUGUGUUCGGCAGACGCGACGGUUCGGAACGGCUUUCAUUGUUUCACUUUAAGGUGAACUAUCUCUUUAACUCUCACUAUAUUCGGUCACAUGCUGCUAUCUUAACUAUGGCAUGUUGGGCCGUGAACUCCACACAGUACCGUGAGACUGAUCUUAUGACCAGAGCCGCAGCUGUUGCAACUGUGUAAGACUAAUACAGAAGGCACACACACACACGCAUGCCUUCAGCAUGACUGACAGCGCAAGAAAAACAUUAAGAUGCUCAGCUUAUUCUCUGACUGACGGCUGCGGAGCGGGACAUAUGCAGUAUUAUUAUGGUCUCUGUUCGGGAGGCGGUCAGCGAUCUAAUUGGAUGAAGGCAGUGGGAUGCCCCAUAUACAGAGGGAGGGAGAGCAGGAGCCCGUCUUACACGAAUGCGACUCUGAUGGCCCGACGCAGAGGGCGACACGUGACCGCAGUGAAGUGAAGACUAACGUAAAAGAAGCUCUGGAGUCAGUUCAUGAUGCCAAAAUAUUGCGGCGAGAAACGAGGCAAAAAGGAGAGAAACCUGUACACCUAUGACCACCCAAACACGGAAGUAACCAGGACACACCCGGAGUCAUAAACCGUGGCGCGGGGCCAAACCUUUGCAGAUACAGAAACAAAACAUAAAGCGCGAUUCCUGGGUCGUCAGCGUGGGCCUGCUGAUCUCAGUACGAGUGGGAGAGCAAGAAAGCAAGAGAACAAGGAUCUGAACAGUUUGUUCACCCGGGUGAAGGCUAGAAGAUCAAGCUUGGUGUAGCAAGAGCUUGCCUGUGUUGCAAUGUCCAGUCCCAGGGCUGAAUUGUCCACCACAACCGCGGAUGCUUUGAAGACGGCGUAGGCCGCGUAGCACAGCCAGAUGUUGUUGGUGAGGCCCAUGAGAAAGACACACCCCGCACCUACAGCAGAGAAAACCCCCAGCGAGAGCUCGCCCCACACGCCCCACCGCACUCUGAUAUAAC
Long non-coding RNA from Puntigrus tetrazona (Sumatra barb), 2218 nucleotides. RefSeq lists it as uncharacterized. NCBI's taxonomy places the organism in Eukaryota, Metazoa, Chordata, Actinopteri, Cypriniformes, Cyprinidae. The record is from RefSeq and is a predicted model, not a curated record. The transcript has 7 exons.